Long non-coding RNA from Astyanax mexicanus (Mexican tetra), 2560 nucleotides. RefSeq lists it as uncharacterized. The record is from RefSeq and is a predicted model, not a curated record. NCBI's taxonomy places the organism in Eukaryota, Metazoa, Chordata, Actinopteri, Characiformes, Acestrorhamphidae. The transcript is spliced from 3 exons.
GCUGUUAGCAGCUUAUACUGCUCCAGCUGUGCUAGCCAGGGUUAGCAGCAGGCUACAGUCUGUUAUACUCACCUCUGAAAAGAAAAAAGAGCUAGUGCUUAGCACGGUUAGCAGGUAAUGCUAAUGCUGCUCCAGCAGUGCUUCCCUGGGUUAGCAGCAGGCUACAGUCUGUUAUACUCACCUCUGAAAAGAAAGAAGAGCUAGUGCUUAGCACGGUUAGCAGGUAAUGCUAAUGCUGCUCCAGCAGUGCUUCCCUGGGUUAGCAGCAGGCUACAGUCUGUUAUACUCACCUCUGAAAAGAAAAAAGAGCUAGUGCUUAGCACGGUUAGCAGGUAAUUCUAAUGCUGCUCCAGCAGUGCUAGCCUAGGUUAGCAGUAGGCUACAGUCCCAUAAUAUUCACCUGUGCAUAGCAAAAAAGCUAGCACUUAGUGCAUUAAGCAGCUAAUGCUGCUCCAACAGCAUUAGCCAAGUGUUAGCAGCAGUUUACAGGCUGCUAAUACUCAACGUUAAACAGAAAAAAGAGCUAGUGCUUAGCACGGUUAGAGGCUAAUGUUAAUGCUGCUCCAGCAGUGCUAGCCGGGGUUAGCAGCAGGCUACAGGUUGAUAAUACUCACUUCUAAACGGCAAAAAAGCUAGUGCUUAGCAUGGUUAAAGACUAAUGCUAAUGCUGCUCCAGCAGUACUAGCCUUGGUUUAGUAGAUGCCUACAGUCUGUUAUACUCACCUCUGAACAGAAAAAAAGAGCUAGCGCUUAGUGCAGUUAGCGGCUAAUGCUAAUACUGCUGGAGAAUUGAACUGAAACUCCUGUAUAACGCUGUACUUCAGGGGAGUGGCUUUACUGCUCCUUAAUACCUGACUGGUAGAAUUAAUAUACAUAAAGCGUACUGAUAUUUUUUUGGGAAAAUUAAAGGAUUUUUACUGCGCCUUAUAGUGCAAAAAUACAGUAUUCCUUAUGUCACAAACUUAAAAGAAAAUCAAAAAUUGUGGUCACGCAAUUGGAAAAAUGUCCCCAAUAUUUUUUUAUUAUUUAAAUUAUUUAAAAUUCAAUAGAAGGCAGCUACAUUUUUCUUUUUUUUUUUUCUUUUUUUCAGAAGUAUCCUUCACAUUGUUUUAAGGUUCUGUAUCACGAUGCACUGGAUUCACUCAUGCUUAUCACUUAUACAAUUCUUUUUUUUUUUUUUUUUUUGGUCUGUUUUGCUGUUCCUUCCAGAAGAAGACGUCUCCAGUGAGAAAACAGGGCAAACCGAUUUUUUUUUUUUUUUUUCAUGAUUUAUUUUAUUUGAUUGUUAAUAUUCAAGCCAAAUGUUUUCACCACUCGCGCUCCGAUGCUCCCGAUGCAUUGUGGUCUUUGUAGUUUGCUGAGAGUCCGAUAUAAAAAUAUGGUUGGUCAGAAGUGAAGAGCCGGUUUGACUCACGAAACGGCCUUCGAGCAGGAGAAACCUUCCCGACAGCUUGCUGUGGAGAGACUUUUAUUAUAUAUAUUUUUUGUUUCCUGUGUCUUGUAAUGCCUUGUAACAAACACUCCUGUCUCCGAGAGUAGAGCUAUUAUAAAGAUAUGCAUGCGGACAAUGUAAGACUUUCAUUUUGCUUCUUUAACUUUUUUUUUCCCCCAUAUGUAUUGUUUGGACCCCACUUCUUUAUACGACCUCCAGACUCAGACUUAGGCUAGAAAAAUGCUUGCUGUUUGGCUAUGCGUUCACAUUUUUUUUUUUCACGUAACAUUUCACGUAACUUUUAGCGUACUUACGUAUGUGAUAUGUGUGUUUCUGCAGGCGUCCACAAAUUAUUUGUUAUAGAGAUGCGGCUAGCUCUUCGUCAAAACUACAGUUUGUAAAGUUUGUAAUUUUAAUGUUGCUGAGUGCUGCACUGCCCCCUAGAAUUUUUGCAGGCAAUGCACCUUGCAUACAGUGUGAGCUGCAUCGUGAACAGGUUUUUUUCUUGGCCUAAAGAUAUGCUUGUUUUUCGUUCAUACACUUGCAUCGAAGACGACCGUGUUGCUAACGUAACUUUCCGUAUUAUUUUUCAUCUUUAUGCGUAACUGUUUACGUACUUGCGUAUGUGAUGCGUGUGCUACCGGAGACUUCCACAAGAGGCCUCCACUUGCCGUAGCAACAACGACGUACAACAUACAGAUGCGGGUAGCUGUUCAUCAAAUCAGUUCAGAAUUUUAACGUUGCUGAGUGCUGCACUGCCCCCUAGCAUUUUUGCAGGUACUGCACCUUGCAUACAGCAUAAGCUGUAUAUAGUAUAAUUUAUUGCUGGGCGGUAUGACCAAAAAUGUAUAUCACUGUAUUUUUCAAGAUUCUGACUGUUUCACAGUAUGUCAUGGUAUAAUUAUUAUUAUUAUUAUUAUUAUUAUUAUUUAUUUAUUUAUAUAUAUAUAUAUUGUUUUUUGCAUGACUGGGCUUUUAUACAGGUCUGUGACUUACUCAAGUCUUUAAAUUAAGGCUUUAAUUAGUAUCGGUUUUAUUUUGUCCCACAAAAUUACACAAUAUAUGAAGAAAUCAGACUUUACUAUCAGAAAAAAACAGCUAAAGAAUGUAAACAACAGACCUUAAAAA